CUGACGAGUGGCGGACGGGUGAGUAACGCGUAGGAAUCUGCCCAGUAGUGGGGGACAACCCGGAGAAAUCCGGGCUAAUACCGCAUACGCCCUACGGGGGAAAGGAGGGGAUCUCUUCGGAGACCUUUCGCUAUUGGAUGAGCCUGCGUCGGAUUAGCUUGUUGGUAGGGUAACGGCCUACCAAGGCGACGAUCCGUAGCUGGUCUGAGAGGACGAUCAGCCACACUGGGACUGAGACACGGCCCAG
RNAcentral lists this ribosomal RNA (247 nucleotides) under uncultured bacterium. Its description in RNAcentral is "partial 16S ribosomal RNA". It matches the Rfam family "Bacterial small subunit ribosomal RNA", at positions 88 to 334 of the family's 1533-position model. The record is from RNAcentral.